CUCACCAGGUCAGGACACGGUAAGGAUUGACGGACUGAAGGCUCUUUCUCGAUUCCGUGGAAAGUGGUGCAUGGCCGUUUUUGGUUGGUGGAUCGAUCCGUCUGGUUAAUUCCGUUAACGAACGAGACCUCGGCACUCCGAAUAGCGCGGCGGACGUCGCGGCCUCCGGGCCGUCUUCCGCACGAGCUUCUUAGAGGGGACCGUCCCCCCGCCGGGGAAGGAGGUGCGAGGCAACGACAGGUCUGUGAUGCCCUUAGAUGUUCUGGGCCGCACGCGCAUUACACUGACGCGUCCAACGGGUGACUCCCGACCCGAAGGGGCCGGGGAAUCCGCAAGGCGCGUCGUGAUGGGGAUUGAACGUUGCAAUUGUUGUUCACGAACGAGGAAUUCCUAGUAGGCGCGGGUCAUCAACCCGCGCCGAUUACGUCCCUGCCCUUUGUACACACCGCC
This 450-nucleotide ribosomal RNA is filed under the name uncultured eukaryote. RNAcentral describes it as "bacterial SSU rRNA". It matches the Rfam family "Eukaryotic small subunit ribosomal RNA", at positions 1214 to 1673 of the family's 1831-position model. The record is from RNAcentral.